This 590-nucleotide ribosomal RNA is filed under the name uncultured Burkholderia sp. RNAcentral describes it as "bacterial SSU rRNA". It matches the Rfam family "Bacterial small subunit ribosomal RNA", at positions 418 to 1003 of the family's 1533-position model. The record is from RNAcentral. Lineage: Bacteria; Pseudomonadati; Pseudomonadota; Betaproteobacteria; Burkholderiales; Burkholderiaceae.
UCGGGUUGUAAAGCACUUUUGUCCGGGAAGAAAACUUCUGCCCUAAUACGGCGGGAGGAUGACGGUACCGGAAGAAUAAGCACCGGCUAACUACGUGCCAGCAGCGCGGUAAUCGUAGGGUGCGAGCGUUAAUCGGAAUUACUGGGCGUAAAGCGUGCGCAGGCGGUUCGUUAAGACAGAUGUGAAAUCCCCGGGCUUAACCUGGGAACUGCAUUUGUGACUGGCGAGCUAGAGUAUGGCAGAGGGGGGUAGAAUUCCACGUGUAGCAGUGAAAUGCGUAGAGAUGUGGAGGAAUACCGAUGGCGAAGGCAGCCCCCUGGGCCAAUACUGACGCUCAUGCACGAAAGCGUGGGGAGCAAACAGGAUUAGAUACCCUGGUAGUCCACGCCCUAAACGAUGUCAACUAGUUGUUGGGGAUUCAUUUCCUUAGUAACGUAGCUAACGCGUGAAGUUGACCGCCUGGGGAGUACGGUCGCAAGAUUAAAACUCAAAGGAAUUGACGGGGACCCGCACAAGCGGUGGAUGAUGUGGAUUAAUUCGAUGCAACGCGAAAAACCUUACCUACCCUUGACAUGGUCGGAACCCUGCUG